UAGGGAAUCUUCCGCAAUGGGCGAAAGCCUGACGGAGCAACGCCGCGUGAGUGAUGAAGGUCUUCGGAUCGUAAAACUCUGUUAUUAGGGAAGAACAAAUGUGUAAGUAACUAUGCACGUCUUGACGGUACCUAAUCAGAAAGCCACGGCUAACUACGUGCCAGCAGCCGCGGUAAUACGUAGGUGGCAAGCGUUAUCCGGAAUUAUUGGGCGUAAAGCGCGCGUAGGCGGUUUUUUAAGUCUGAUGUGAAAGCCCACGGCUCAACCGUGGAAGGUCAUUGGAAACUGUAAGACUUGAGUGCAGAAGAGGAAAGUGGAAUUCCAUGUGUAGCGGUGAAAUGCGCAGAUAUAUGGAGGAACACCAGUGGCGAAGGCGACUUUCUGGUCUGUAACUGACACUAAUGUGCGAAAGCGUGCGGAUCAAACAGG
This 429-nucleotide ribosomal RNA is filed under the name Actinomycetes bacterium. Its description in RNAcentral is "Actinobacteria bacterium partial 16S ribosomal RNA". It matches the Rfam family "Bacterial small subunit ribosomal RNA", at positions 355 to 776 of the family's 1533-position model. Lineage: Bacteria; Bacillati; Actinomycetota; Actinomycetes. The record is from RNAcentral.